Unclassified non-coding RNA from Mesocricetus auratus (golden hamster), 278 nucleotides. Its record names the gene 7SK. It matches the Rfam family "7SK RNA". From Rfam's summary of the family: 7SK was discovered as an abundant small nuclear RNA in the mid-70s but a possible function has only recently been suggested. Two independent studies have found that 7SK RNA binds the CDK9/cyclin T complex (known as elongation factor P-TEFb). P-TEFb activates transcription by phosphorylating the C-terminal domain of RNA polymerase II. Lineage: Eukaryota; Metazoa; Chordata; Mammalia; Rodentia; Cricetidae. The record is from Ensembl.
AGAUGUGAAGGUAAAUAGAUCUGUUAACCUAUGCUUUACCAGGGUUAUUUUGGUUAAUAUAGCUAAUAAGGUGGUAUUCCCUUCCCUCCAUCACCAGUCCAUGUGUAACUUUCUGGAAGCUGCACCCUCAGCAGAUGAAACUAUUUUAUCCUGGUCAAGGAUAUAUGAGUGGCUGUGCUCCCUGGCUGGAACCUCCAAACUGGCUGUCAUGAUGGGCACAUGUUUUUUCAUUCUGUUUAUUUCCAUGUCUAGUCACUGUAUAACAGCAUCUUUACCCU